Molecule: ribosomal RNA, 433 nt
Filed under: uncultured ammonia-oxidizing beta proteobacterium
Lineage: Bacteria; Pseudomonadati; Pseudomonadota; Betaproteobacteria
Description: bacterial SSU rRNA
Rfam family: Bacterial small subunit ribosomal RNA
Source: RNAcentral
UGGAGGAAAGUAGGGGAUCGUAAGACCUUGCGCUUUUGGAGCGGCCGAUGUCUGAUUAGCUAGUUGGUGGGGUAAUGGCCUACCAAAGCUUCGAUCAGUAGCUGGUCUGAGAGGACGGCCAGCCACACUGGGACUGAGACACGGCCCAGACUCCUACGGGAGGCAGCAGUGGGGAAUUUUGGACAAUGGGCGCAAGCCUGAUCCAGCCAUGCCGCGUGAGUGAAGAAGGCCUUCGGGUUGUAAAGCUCUUUCAGCCGGGAAGAAAAGGCUGCGACUAAUAAUCGCAGUUCAUGACGGUACCGGAAGAAGAAGCACCGGCUAACUACGUGCCAGCAGCCGCGGUAAUACGUAGGGUGCGAGCGUUAAUCGGAAUUACUGGGCGUAAAGGGUGCGCAGGCGGUUUUGUAAGUCAGAUGUGAAAUCCCCGGGCUUA